This 966-nucleotide long non-coding RNA is filed under the name Capra hircus (goat). Its description in RNAcentral is "lncRNA (ENSCHIG00000006941.1)". The record is from RNAcentral. Lineage: Eukaryota; Metazoa; Chordata; Mammalia; Artiodactyla; Bovidae.
UCAGGUAAGCUCUCCUCUGAUACUUCCUUUGGAAAACAUUCUUUUUUUUUUUUUUUAAUUGAAUUAGGCAUUUCUUAUUUUUCACCAAGCUUCCCUGGUGGCUCAGACAGUAAAGAGUCUGCUUGCAAUUCAGGAGAUCUGGGUUCAACCCCUGGGUAAAGAAGAUCCCCUGGAGAAAGAAAUGGCAACCCGCCCCAGUAUUCUUGCCUGGAGAAUUCCAUGGACAAAGGAGCCUGGUGGGCUACAGUUCAUGGGGUCGUAAAGAGUCAGAUGUGACUAACACAUAUUUCAUAAUUAGGAGUGUUACUCAUUCAUUCUUUUUUUUUCAGGUAUAUUAGCAGCUAUAGUAAAUGAGAAGACUGCCUUGCCAGUAACAGAGUAUUUACUGAUAGAGCACAAGCCCUUUCUGUUUGAAGGUUUCAGGUCCCAACUAUUCAUUUGUAUAACUACCUAGUGAGGAAGAUAAAAGUAGUAAAUCAUCCAGGAGAAAGAAUCAAGAGGAUAAUUCCAAAUGUUCAGUGAUAACUUACCAUGGCUUCUGUUGAGGCCCGGCCGAACAGAAGAAGAUGGAAACAAUGUGUGCUGUAAUUUUAACAUCAGAGCAACCAAAAAUCAUACAGAUUCGAGUGAAGAACAAACACACUAAGGGAUGUUUUUGACAUCCCCAGUGUUUUAGGCCGACUUUGACUGUACCUUUGUCUGAAAUCAAUGUAUCAAAUAUGUCUUUGGUUUUGGGCUGGCAAGUGUGAACAUACUGUGUAAGUUACAAGGGGGAAAAUGAAUGUCAGUCUACACUGUUACUAGAAAUAUACCUGCUGGUCAUGCUUGAAAUUCUGUCCAAAACUAAAAAUCUUAUAUCUUCUAAGGCUCACGUGUCUUUCUGUAUGCUAUUUUUAGAAUGUUCACAGAUGCAAACAAAUACUGUCUUCUAAUGACCGCUUAUUCCAAAAGAAGUUCUGAAUAAAG